UACGGAGGGGGCAAGCGUUGUUCGGAAUUACUGGGCGUAAAGGGCGCGCAGGCGGCUGCUCAAGUCAGGCGUGAAAGGCCUGGGCUCAACCCGGGAAUUGCGCUUGAGACUGGGCUGGCUUGAGUGCGGGAGAGGAUGGUGGAAUUCCCAGUGUAGAGGUGAAAUUCGUAGAUAUUGGGAAGAGCACCGGUGGCGAAGGCGGCCAUCUGGACCGCAACUGACGCUGAGGCGACGAAAGCGUGGGGAGCAAACAGG
RNAcentral lists this ribosomal RNA (255 nucleotides) under uncultured bacterium. Its description in RNAcentral is "partial 16S ribosomal RNA". It matches the Rfam family "Bacterial small subunit ribosomal RNA", at positions 524 to 776 of the family's 1533-position model. The record is from RNAcentral.